CCUUUGACGUUAGCGGCGGACGGGUGAGUAACACGUGGGUAACCUACCUAUAAGACUGGGAUAACUUCGGGAAACCGGAGCUAAUACCGGAUAAUAUUUCGAACCGCAUGGUUCGAUAGUGAAAGGUGGUUUUGCUAUCACUUAUAGAUGGACCCGCGCCGUAUUAGCUAGUUGGUAAGGUAACGGCUUACCAAGUCGACGAUACGUAGCCGACCUGAGAGGGUGAUCGGCCACACUGGAACUGAGACACGGUCCAGACUCCUACGGGAGGCAGCAGGU
RNAcentral lists this ribosomal RNA (279 nucleotides) under uncultured Staphylococcus sp. Its description in RNAcentral is "partial 16S ribosomal RNA". It matches the Rfam family "Bacterial small subunit ribosomal RNA", at positions 83 to 354 of the family's 1533-position model. The record is from RNAcentral. Lineage: Bacteria; Bacillati; Bacillota; Bacilli; Caryophanales; Staphylococcaceae.